Molecule: ribosomal RNA, 253 nt
Filed under: uncultured bacterium
Lineage: Bacteria
Description: partial 16S ribosomal RNA
Rfam family: Bacterial small subunit ribosomal RNA
Source: RNAcentral
GACGAACCGUGCGAACGUUAUUCGGAAUCACUGGGCUUAAAGGGCGCGUAGGCGGGCGCGAAAGUCAGGGGUGAAAGCCCACGGCUCAACCGUGGAAGUGCCUCUGAUACUUCGGGCCUCGAGGGAGGUAGGGGCGUGCGGAACUUCCGGUGGAGCGGUGAAAUGCGUAGAUAUCGGAAGGAACGCCGGUAGCGAAAGCGACGUGCUGGACCUCAACUGACGCUGAGGCGCGAAAGCUAGGGGAGCAAACGGG